Molecule: small nucleolar RNA, 126 nt
Filed under: Procavia capensis (Cape rock hyrax)
Lineage: Eukaryota; Metazoa; Chordata; Mammalia; Hyracoidea; Procaviidae
Description: Small nucleolar RNA SNORA61 (ENSPCAG00000019177.1)
Source: RNAcentral
GCUCUUUAGUUCUCAUUUCAUCAGAUUUGAACACCGGUCUGGGUGAUCAUAAAGGAGGAAAAGUAACAUUGAAACUGACCUCAAUGCUGACAGGACAUCGCUAGUUUCAGACAGAUUCAAACAAGU